This 28-nucleotide non-coding RNA is filed under the name Mus musculus (house mouse). The record is from RNAcentral. Lineage: Eukaryota; Metazoa; Chordata; Mammalia; Rodentia; Muridae.
UGCAGUGUUAGUGAUCGGAAGUCUUGUA